RNAcentral lists this ribosomal RNA (253 nucleotides) under uncultured bacterium. RNAcentral's name for it is "partial 16S ribosomal RNA". It matches the Rfam family "Bacterial small subunit ribosomal RNA", at positions 524 to 776 of the family's 1533-position model. The record is from RNAcentral.
UACGUAGGGGGCAAGCGUUGUCCGGAAUCAUUGGGCGUAAAGCGCGCGUAGGCGGCCAGAUAAGUCCGGUGUGAAAGUCCCAGGCUCAACCUGGGAAUGCCGCCGGAAACUGUCUGGCUAGAGUCCGGAAGGGGCCAGUGGAAUUCCCGGUGUAGCGGUGAAAUGCGCAGAUAUCGGGAGGAACACCAAUGGCGAAGGCAGCUGGCUGGGACGGUACUGACGCUGAGGUGCGAAAGCGUGGGGAGCAAACAGG